CAACUCGUACGGGGGGCAGCAGUAGGGAAUUUUCGUCAAUGGGCGCAAGCCUGAACGAGCGAUGCCGCGUGAGUGAAGAAGGCCUUCGGGUCGUAAAGCUCUGUUGCGGGGGAAAAAAGGCAACUACAGGAAAUGGGAGAUGACAGAUGGUGCCCCGCCAGAAAGUCACGGCUAACUACGUGCCAGCAGCCGCGGUAAUACGUAGGUGGCGAGCGUUAUCCGGAAUGAUUGGGCG
This 235-nucleotide ribosomal RNA is filed under the name uncultured bacterium. RNAcentral's name for it is "partial 16S ribosomal RNA". It matches the Rfam family "Bacterial small subunit ribosomal RNA", at positions 333 to 560 of the family's 1533-position model. The record is from RNAcentral.